AAUUAGGAAAUGAUCAAACAAUUUACUUUUCGUUAUAUGCAAAGGAGCAGAAACAUGACUACAAUUUUCAAAUUUGCUUAUAUUAUGAUCAUAUGUGUUUUCCUGCUUAACAUUGCAGCCCAAGAAAUAGAAAACGGAAUUCACCCCUGCAAGAAAAACGAAGAUUGCAAUCACAUGUGUGUCAUGCCUGGUCUUCCAUGGUGCCAUGAGAAUAAUUUGUGUUUCUGCUAUGAAAAUGCUUAUGGGAAUACACGUUAAGGAUGGUUAGACAAAGUGAAUAGAAAUGGUGACUAAAAAGCCGUUUAUGAAAAAGAAGAAGAGUCAUAAUAUGGAGCAUUACAAAAUACUCUGAGAUAAUAAUACAUUUGGAUUAAGUGUAUAAGAAAUAACAAUUGAACUAUUUCGUAGAUUUUUUUUUCCAUGUACGAGUAUGACAAAGAAUUGAGUGAAUAUCGUUUUAUUCUGUUGGAAAUCUUAGUGUUGUGGAUUGUGAAUGCAACUUUUUUUCAUGAUGUGAAAUUAUUAAUUUAUUGUAUAUUAAAUGUACAAGAAAAAUUUGAGUGUAUAAUAUUAUUAUUAUUAUCUUU
Molecule: long non-coding RNA, 587 nt
Organism: Medicago truncatula (barrel medic)
Lineage: Eukaryota; Viridiplantae; Streptophyta; Magnoliopsida; Fabales; Fabaceae
Exons: 3
Source: RefSeq, a predicted model, not a curated record